UCGGCCACAAUCGCAUGACGCAGAAGUCAGCCGCGCACCCAAUGCAACAUCAACAACUUUUACUCCUCGGCCGAGCUCGGCCUAUGAGUUAGCAUGCCCUGCAUUCACCAAAUGACGUAGUUAGCUCGUAGAUUACUCGGCCUACGCACCACAUAGGCUUGGUAGUUUUUAGGGUCAACACAUAAUAUCUUGCAAUUACACCCAAAAACCACCAUAUGUGGCCGGUUCCCAUCUCUCCAAAAGAGGUCGGCCACACCCCUAUACCAC
This 267-nucleotide long non-coding RNA is filed under the name Malus domestica (apple). Its description in RNAcentral is "long non-coding RNA (MDOM_LNC021196)". The record is from RNAcentral. Lineage: Eukaryota; Viridiplantae; Streptophyta; Magnoliopsida; Rosales; Rosaceae.